CGCCGCACUCUGAAGGGGAAAUCAGAUAUACGGAGAUUUUCUGCCCGACGACCACCGAUCCAAUUCCCGUUUAAUCGCACAAAGUGUAUCCGAGGCGACGUUAGGAAUCCGUUUUCAAGGGGAUGACGCUGUCCUAGCGCGCUCGGCUGUGGAGGGGGAGGGGCCGCGCAAUCACGCCCUACGUCGAAACACUGGCGUUUUCUACCACUGGGGACGCUACAGCACCGCUACAACGAGCUGCCCACAACCUCUACGUUCUCCUCACCCUGGCUAUCAAAGUCGACCGUCGUCUCUGGAAUAGCGACCAAGAAUGCUGGGAGGAGGAACACGAGGAGGCUCGAGAACAGCUGCAAGUUCACCCCAGGCACAUCGGUAAGAAAGUGCUAUAAAGCAGUCGAGAGGGCUGCCAUGACAUGAGUACCCAAGUAAUCCCAGCUCUCCGGCCGGCAGCCGAGGAACCGAUGUAGGUGAGCCAAUCCUCCAUGUUUAAUGCUCCUUUUUGCUGUUUGCCCACGGUCAGCCUAUCGGCAGGCUUCAACUCCCUCCAACAGGCAGUGUUAUUGAACUCCGGAGCCACAACAAGCUUGAUGGACGCUCGGGUGGUGGUGAGCACUUCCUUUCUUCCUGCCACGGGGGAGGCAACAGCCUGCUAAAGGGGCUGUUGGAGCAUAAAUUAUAGGUCAAGAAGUAUGAGUUUCACGUGUCAACCAUUUCUUUCCUGGGAUUUGUCAUCUCACAGGGUCAGAUUCAGAUGGAACCUGCUAAGACACAGGCUGUUGAUAAUUGGCUGAUACCUUAGUCUUGCUGAGAUGUGCAACGGUUCCUGGGCUUCGCCAAUUUUUUACCAUAGGUUCAAUUGUCGCUUCAGCAGCAUCUCCUCUUCACGCUCUGAAUCUAACAUCUUACAUCUAAAUCUAAGUUCCAGAAACAGACGUGGCCUUCACCCAUCUUAAGCACAGCUUCAUGCCGGCUCCUUCACAUGCUGGACCCAGCCCAUUAAUUUGUGGUGGAGGUUGACGCUUCAAACUAUGGAAUCGGAGCUGUGCUGUCAAAGGGGGAUGCUGAUAAUAGAAGGUUGCAUCCUUGUGCUUUCAUGUCCUGCAAGAUGUUUCCUGCGGAGAAGAACUAUGACAUUGGAAACCGCAUACUUCUGGCAGUCAAGGCGGUACUAGAGGAGUGGCGACACGGGCUAGAGGGUGCAGAGCAGCUAGUGUUUACCGACCACAAGAACCUGAAGUACCUUAAGUCAUCCAAAACUCUCGGCAAGCUCGGUGGUCACCCUUCUUAAACAGAUUCUACUUUUACCUAUCAUAUUGCCCCAGCUCUAAAAACACCAAGCCAGAUGCACUGUCUCACGUUCAUGACGCUGAGGAAGAUGUCGAGUCUCCUGAACCCAUCCUUCCUGCAACCUUUCUGGUUGGAGCAGUCACUUUGACCCAAGAACCAAGUCAAGGAGGGGGGUCGGGACCAACUACCACAGCCAGCCUGUCCCCCCAACCCUGUGUUUGUUCCACCCAAAAUCUGGGGCAAGGUCAUUCAUGGGGCCCAUGCCUCUACGUUUAUCAUUUUAGCAUCUGUCGACUGCCUUUUGUAAUCGGUCGUCCUUUCUGGUAGCUGUCUGUACUCAAGGACGUCAGAGAGUAAGUUGCAGCCGGUUACUCCUGUGCCUCUCAUAAGAGCACACAUCAGUGUCCAUCCGGCUUUCUCUAGUCACUUCCAGUUCCCCACCAUUCCCCAAACCCAAGAAUUAAGAGUCCAGGUGAAGUCCUCACUCAUGGUUGAAAAAAGGAUAAAAAAAUACCUAUAAAUCCACGUUGACAUAUGGUUGAAAUAAUGUCAGUUGUUUUUGUAACGUUGAAACGUUUAACGCUAAUGGUUGUAAAAACAUUGACAAAAUACAAAAAAAUCAAUGUUGACGUGUCUGAAAUAAUGUCAGUUGUUUUUUAACAAUAUAAUGUAACAAUGUUUAUGCUUAUGACUGUAAAAACGCUAUAAAAAAACAACCUUGAAAUUGAAAGAAUUAGUUAAAAUGACAGAUUGUUUUCAACAUAUCAUUAGUCAGACUUUAUUUAGAUGUAAAUAAUUAUUUAUUAUUUGUUUAUUUUUAUUUCUUCUUAUAAAGUUUUGCUCAUCAUGCAUUACAUUUUUAGCCGUUUUAUUCAGUUCUAUUCAUAGAUUGUAUGUGGUUCUCAUAAUAAAUGAACUAUCUAGACUAUAGUCUCAAUAAUAUAAUUCAAACGGUGAUGCGAAGGUUUCUGCUGCAGCAGAGAAAACACCCCGCAACUAUUUUAGAAAGAGCAGCUAUUUUUAAGGUAAGUCAAAACUAUUAAAACAUAUUUAGACUGUAUAAUAGGCUGUUACUCUAAGAUUAUGUUUGAAGUGUUUGCAUUUUUUUACACUGGUUUAAAUGUAAAAAAAAUUAUAAAAAAAAUCUAAAAAUCUUUUACACUGGUUUAAAUGUGCAAAAUUUGUGAAAAUUAUCUAAAUGUUUGAUUUUUGUCCUUAGAUGCUGUCAUCACAACUUAUGAAACUACAUUAUUGAACAUACAAAAAACAAUGAACACAAAGGUUGGGUGGUGGUGGAAAAAAGAUGUAACUUUCAUUAAGUGUUUCUGUUAAACUUUGUCUUCCAUAAGCCAAGUGGUGCUGUUUUAUCCUUUGUUUUGUGGUUCUAGUUCAUCGUGGUAACUUGUUUCCGCGGGAUUAGUGGGAUUAGUUUGGUAAAUUAGAUUUUAAUGACAGUGUAAGUUGCAAUGUUGGUUAUACAAUAUUUAAUUAACAUAAAUGUUAUCUUUACAUUUUUUUUGGCAUUUUAAUUGUAGGUAUGUAUUUAUUUCAUGUUCAAUGCUGGCCCGGAAAAAAAAAGUACGCGUUCCGCCCAAACAUAUAUUACUGGUGAGCAAUGGAAAGCAUGUAAAAGAAGGCGGCAGUAUAAGACAAGAUGCUAAAGUUUCACAUCGUUAUGAAAAUAAUAUAAAUCAAUGUAAACAUAACAUUGCUAAAAGACCUUGAAUCAACAUAAAUGUAACAUUGAUAACUGACCAUAAAUCUAACGUUGAUGAACAACCAUAAAUCAACUUAAAUGUAAUGUUGACGAUCUACCAUAGUGCAACUUUGAAAUAACGCUGACAAACGAUCAUUAUGCAGUGUUAAAAUAAUGUUGCCCUAUUAGUGUUGAUUCACCUUUCAAAAUCUAAACAUAAUUCAAUGGUCAUUUAACCAUAAUUAUUCAACCUCAACGUUAAAAUGUCUGCUGGGUAAUCCAAAAUAAAGCCAAAUAAUUGGACUAUCAAUUCUGCAAAGGAAACACUUAAAGUCAAUCACCUUCAAAGAAGGCGGAAAACCAUAUCAAAAAGAAAUAUCACAUCAUAUCAUUUUAAAAUAUCAUAUAAAAGGUGCUAUGUUCUAUAUUAGUGCACGUGCACUAUGUGCUGCAGCC
Long non-coding RNA from Betta splendens (Siamese fighting fish), 3439 nucleotides. RefSeq lists it as uncharacterized. The record is from RefSeq and is a predicted model, not a curated record. NCBI's taxonomy places the organism in Eukaryota, Metazoa, Chordata, Actinopteri, Anabantiformes, Osphronemidae. The transcript has 3 exons.